CCUUCAGUGGCAUCAACCAGAAACAGAGAAGACAAGGAGAGGCCCAGGGAGAGUGCCUCUCAUGUCGCCACAUGGCUGCUGGGACACGAAUGGGCUCGGGCAGGGAGAGGCGUGGCGGUCAAGGGCCUGGGUGGGAGUCAAGGGCCUUCAGGACAGGGUCUGGCUCUGCCUCUGACAUGCCCUGUGACUUUGAACGAGUUGCCAGUCCAUCUGGAGCCUCACUAACCCAUUUCUGAAAUGAGAAGGAGAGGGAGCGCUCCGUGGUCACCGAGGGCUCUCCGCUCCUACAAAGAGAGAGCCAUCCAAGUACAUUCCUCUCAUCUGCAACUGCAGAAACCAGAUCUCUGGCUCCGGAUCCUGAGGCCUCUCAGAGCGAAGGGGAGGAAAUCCGGCCAUAACCACACAGUACGCAGGUGGGAAGUGAAGGGCGUCAUCAUUUCUUCUCCAUCUAAUGUGUGCUCCAUUAACUAUGUCUGCAGGAAGCGGUCCUUCCUACAUUCCAGCCAGUGUGAAUGCGUGAGAAGCCAAGACCUCCAAGAAGAAGCCCUUGGCUCUGCCAAGUCACUCAGCUCGGAACCGGGGCACUCUCUGCACACCACUGCCCCCUGGUGGCCGAUUUGGGAAUUCUCCAUGACUAGCCUCAGGUGUCCAGUGGAGGCAGAGGGAAUCCGGGAACUGAAGGUGGGGAGGAAGUUGAGUGGCAUCCCAGAGGUCUGAAAACCCAUGACAUCCUGGUCUGAGAAUGUCUGAGUCCAAGAGGCCCUCAGAGGCCAUGUGGCCUGACUUCUUCAUGAUGUACGGGGAAAGCAAAUCUCAGUAAGGAUGCUGUCAGGGGGUAGAGAUCACCGGACUUGGUGUAA
Molecule: long non-coding RNA, 860 nt
Organism: Lutra lutra (Eurasian river otter)
Lineage: Eukaryota; Metazoa; Chordata; Mammalia; Carnivora; Mustelidae
Exons: 2
Source: RefSeq, a predicted model, not a curated record